Molecule: transfer RNA, 72 nt
Filed under: Camelus bactrianus (Bactrian camel)
Lineage: Eukaryota; Metazoa; Chordata; Mammalia; Artiodactyla; Camelidae
Also listed under: 2 other names
Rfam family: tRNA
About the family: Transfer RNA (tRNA) molecules are approximately 80 nucleotides in length. Their secondary structure includes four short double-helical elements and three loops (D, anti-codon, and T loops).
Source: Rfam by way of RNAcentral
GAGGGUAUAGCUCAGGGGUAGAGUGCGUGCUUAGCAUGCAGGAGGUCCUGGGUUCCAUUCCCAGUGCCUCCA